This 255-nucleotide ribosomal RNA is filed under the name uncultured bacterium. RNAcentral's name for it is "partial 16S ribosomal RNA". It matches the Rfam family "Bacterial small subunit ribosomal RNA", at positions 524 to 777 of the family's 1533-position model. The record is from RNAcentral.
UACGAAGGGGGCUAGCGUUGCUCGGAAUCACUGGGCGUAAAGGGUGCGUAGGCGGGUCUUUUAAGUCAGGGGUGAAAUCCUGGAGCUCAACUCCAGAACUGCCUUUGAUACUGAGGAUCUUGAGUUCGGGAGAGGUGAGUGGAACUGCGAGUGUAGAGGUGAAAUUCGUAGAUAUUCGCAAGAACACCAGUGGCGAAGGCGGCUCACUGGCCCGAUACUGACGCUGAUGCGCGAAAGCGUGGGGAGCAAACGGGG